Molecule: long non-coding RNA, 401 nt
Filed under: Rattus norvegicus (Norway rat)
Lineage: Eukaryota; Metazoa; Chordata; Mammalia; Rodentia; Muridae
Description: long non-coding RNA NONRATT003416
Source: RNAcentral
GAACUGCACUGUGGUCAGGUGGUGUGUGGCGUGGGCCGAGGGGAUCAACCCGUGCGGCACCACUAUACCCUGCCGAGGUCACUGGGGGUGGCGCUGGCCCAGUGUGGCCUGGAAGAAGAGGCACAGGUGGCGCUACUGGAGCAGGGCAUCAAAGAAGCAGCUGAGGCCGCGUUGGCCGCAGUGCUGGCCCUGGAGGCCGGACUGAGUGUGGAGCAGCGUGGUGGACGCCAAGUGCACACUGACUUCCUCGGUGAGCACGGGAGGAGCGGCUAGGGCUGGAAGGCUUGGGCGGCGUGGGGAUCGGGUUGAUGUUAGCUCAGUCCGCGCAUUCUCGCCCGGCCCAGGCGUGGACUUCGUUCUCACAGUGGUCGGACGCACGCUGACUCCCGUGGUCCUUAAGC